RNAcentral lists this long non-coding RNA (367 nucleotides) under Pan troglodytes (chimpanzee). RNAcentral describes it as "long non-coding RNA NONPTRT000252". The record is from RNAcentral. Lineage: Eukaryota; Metazoa; Chordata; Mammalia; Primates; Hominidae.
CUAGGAAACUCAAAGUUAAGUUUAUUACUCAACCCAAUAAGUACAGACAUUAUCCUUACUCCUGGCUUCUUCUUUUUCCUACUCUCAUUUUGCCAGAAGGGACAGCUUGCAAUAUAUCUAAAAUGGAAAAGAGCUUGGUGCCUUCAAGGUACUGAUAGAAGAUGUACUGAUAGAAGAUAGAAGAUUCAACAUGUAGUUGGAUCAUUUUUAGAAUGGCUAGAGAUGAAGCUGGAAAGAUAGACAUGGCAAGCUGGAGGCCUUGGAGGCAGUAAGAAGUUCUGUAUUUUUAUAAUACACUUCAAAGAGUCUACGGCAAAUGAAAUAUAACAAAUCAGUCAAUAAACAAAAUACAUAUAUAAAUAAAUUC